CAUGUCCUUUUGAUAAUAAUUUAAGGUCUGAUCUGCUCAAUGAAAUUUAAAUUGCCGCAGUAUUUUGACUGUGCAAAGGUAGCAUAAUAAUUAGUUUUUUAAUUAGGAACUGGUAUGAAUGAUUGGACAAGAAAAUUACUGUCUCUUUUUUAAUUUUUAUUGAAUUUUAUCUUUAAGUGAAAAAGCUUAAAUUUUUAUAAAAGACGAGAAGACCCUAUAGAGUUUAAUAUUCUUAACUAUUUAAAUAUAGAAUAAUUUUUUUGUUAAGUUUUAUUUAGUUGGGGUGAUUUGAAGAUUAAAUUAAUUCUUUAAUUAAAAAAUUGGUGAUUUCUAAAAUAAGAUUCUAUUAUUUGUAAGUUUAAAAUAAAUUACCUUAGGGAUAACAGCGUAAUUUUUCUUUAAAGUUCUUAUUAAAAGAAAAGUUUGCGACCUCGAUGUUGGAUUAAAAUUAAUUUUUGGUGCAAUAACUUAAGAAUUAGGUCUGUUCGACCUUUAAAAUUUUACAUGAUCUGAGUUUAAACCGGUGUAAACCAGGUUGGAUUCUAUCUUUAAAUAAUUAUUAUAUUUUAGUACGAAAGGACCAAAUAUUUAUUAAAUUAAUUG
This 603-nucleotide ribosomal RNA is filed under the name Wakarumbia aurea. RNAcentral's name for it is "partial 16S ribosomal RNA". The stretch from base 379 to 537 matches the Rfam family "Bacterial large subunit ribosomal RNA", at positions 2473 to 2632 of the family's 2925-position model. The record is from RNAcentral. Lineage: Eukaryota; Metazoa; Arthropoda; Insecta; Coleoptera; Lycidae.